GACGAACGCUGGCGGCGUGCUUAACACAUGCAAGUCGAACGGAAAGGCCCUGCUUUUGUGGGGUGCUCGAGUGGCGAACGGGUGAGUAACACGUGAGUAACCUGCCCUUGAUUUUGGGAUAACUUCAGGAAACUGGGGCUAAUACCGGAUAGGAGCUCCUGCUGCAUGGUGGGGGUUGGAAAGUUUCGGCGGUUGGGGAUGGACUCGCGGCUUAUCAGCUUGUUGGUGGGGUAGUGGCUUACCAAGGCUUUGACGGGUAGCCGGCCUGAGAGGGUGACCGGCCACAUUGGGACUGAGAUACGGCCCAGACUCCUACGGGAGGCAGCAGUGGGGAAUAUUGCACAAUGGGCGGAAGCCUGAUGCAGCAACGCCGCGUGCGGGAUGACGGCCUUCGGGUUGUAAACCGCUUUCGCCUGUGACGAAGCGUGAGUGACGGUAAUGGGUAAAGAAGCACCGGCUAACUACGUGCCAGCAGCCGCGGUGAUACGUAGGGUGCGAGCGUUGUCCGGAUUUAUUGGGCGUAAAGGGCUCGUAGGUGGUUGAUCGCGUCGGAAGUGUAAUCUUGGGGCUUAACCCUGAGCGUGCUUUCGAUUCGGGUUGACUUGAGGAAGGUAGGGGAGAAUGGAAUUCCUGGUGGAGCGGUGGAAUGCGCAGAUAUCAGGAGGAACACCAGUGGCGAAGGCGGUUCUCUGGGCCUUUCCUGACGCUGAGGAGCGAAAGCGUGGGGAGCGAACAGGCUUAGAUACCCUGGUAGUCCACGCUGUAAACGGUGGGUACUAGGUGUGGGGUCCAUUCCACGGGUUCCGUGCCGUAGCUAACGCUUUAAGUACCCCGCCUGGGGAGUACGGCCGCAAGGCUAAAACUCAAAGGAAUUGACGGGGCCCCGCACAAGCGGCGGAGCAUGCGGAUUAAUUCGAUGCAACGCGUAGAACCUUACCUGGGUUUGACAUGGAUCGGGAGUGCUCAGAGAUGGGUGUGCCUCUUUUGGGGUCGGUUCACAGGUGGUGCAUGGCUGUCGUCAGCUCGUGUCGUGAGAUGUUGGGUUAAGUCCCGCAACGAGCGCAACCCUUGUUCACUGUUGCCAGCACGUUAUGGUGGGGACUCAGUGGAGACCGCCGGGGUCAACUCGGAGGAAGGUGGGGAUGACGUCAAGUCAUCAUGCCCCUUAUGUCCAGGGCUUCACGCAUGCUACAAUGGCUGGUACAGAGAGUGGCGAGCCUGUGAGGGUGAGCGAAUCUCGGAAAGCCGGUCUCAGUUCGGAUUGGGGUCUGCAACUCGACCUCAUGAAGUCGGAGUCGCUAGUAAUCGCAGAUCAGCAACGCUGCGGUGAAUACGUUCCCGGG
Molecule: ribosomal RNA, 1343 nt
Filed under: uncultured bacterium
Lineage: Bacteria
Description: 16S ribosomal RNA
Rfam family: Bacterial small subunit ribosomal RNA
Source: RNAcentral